GCCAGGCACAGUGGUGCAUGCCUGUAAACCCAGUAGCUCAGGAGGCUGAGACAGGUGGAUCGCGAGUUCAAAGCCAGUCUCAGCAACGGCGAGGCGCUAAGCAACUCAGUGAGACCCUGUCUCUA
This 125-nucleotide small RNA is filed under the name Marmota monax (woodchuck). Lineage: Eukaryota; Metazoa; Chordata; Mammalia; Rodentia; Sciuridae. The record is from RNAcentral.